RNAcentral lists this ribosomal RNA (253 nucleotides) under uncultured Alteromonadaceae bacterium. RNAcentral describes it as "partial 16S ribosomal RNA". It matches the Rfam family "Bacterial small subunit ribosomal RNA", at positions 524 to 776 of the family's 1533-position model. The record is from RNAcentral. Lineage: Bacteria; Pseudomonadati; Pseudomonadota; Gammaproteobacteria; Alteromonadales; Alteromonadaceae.
UACGGAGGGUGCAAGCGUUAAUCGGAAUUACUGGGCGUAAAGCGCGCGUAGGCGGCUUGGUAAGCUGGAUGUGAAAGCCCUGGGCUCAACCUGGGAACUGCAUCCAGAACUGCCAGGCUAGAGUAUGGUAGAGGGUAGUGGAAUUUCCGGUGUAGCGGUGAAAUGCGUAGAGAUCGGAAGGAACACCAGUGGCGAAGGCGGCUGCCUGGACCAAUACUGACGCUGAGGUGCGAAAGCGUGGGGAGCAAACAGG